RNAcentral lists this transfer RNA (69 nucleotides) under Kamimuria klapaleki. Its description in RNAcentral is "tRNA-Cys". Lineage: Eukaryota; Metazoa; Arthropoda; Insecta; Plecoptera; Perlidae. The record is from RNAcentral.
AGCUUUAUAGUCAUUGAUGACAUUAGACUGCAAUUCUAAAGGAGUAGAAAGUAAUGUUUACUAAGGCUU